GGGGGUCUGUUUCUGUCUUUGGUUAUCUAGCUGUAUGAGUUUUAAAUACCUGUCAUAAAGCUAGAUAACCGAAAGUAGAAAUGACUU
RNAcentral lists this microRNA precursor (87 nucleotides) under Poecilia formosa (Amazon molly). RNAcentral's name for it is "miRNA (ENSPFOG00000021538.1)". The stretch from base 7 to 84 matches the Rfam family "mir-9/mir-79 microRNA precursor family". Rfam says of the family: The mature ~21nt miRNAs are processed from hairpin precursor sequences represented here. miR-9 is processed from the 5' arm of its precursor, and miR-79 from the 3' arm. The record is from RNAcentral. Lineage: Eukaryota; Metazoa; Chordata; Actinopteri; Cyprinodontiformes; Poeciliidae.